UUAGGACACAUCUAGAUGUGCUUUGGUAAAACCGAAGAAAAAGAAGAAGACACGUCCAAUUUGUAAAUUAUUAAUCAAUCGUCUUGCAUCAUUAGUCAGCCCGUUAAUUAACUGGACUAUAGGUUAUACAAUCUGUCAAAAAAAUAACUGUGCGGUAUAUAUAUAUACCUUCAGACUCGAUUGCUGGAGGAAUAAACUAAGUGACCGCCGGGCUCGUGUACUCGAUGGCAUGGUUCAUCGAUCGGCACCGCGGCAGCAUCUACGCAGCCUGAGACGGCCGGACUAGCUAUCAUGGCGCCGCGGAGGCGUCUGGCGAUCGACUAGAGCGGAGGCAGGCGCAGAAUCGAUCUCAACUGGAGAUGGUAGGCUAGGCCAACUCACGCUGGUGGCCUAAAGGGAAAACAUGGGCUUGGGUAUACAGCGCAACACAAUUGGAGGUUUGGUUAACUUUGGGCUUCUACGGAUCUACAAGGC
This 474-nucleotide long non-coding RNA is filed under the name Hordeum vulgare. RNAcentral's name for it is "long non-coding RNA (HVUL_LNC005723)". Lineage: Eukaryota; Viridiplantae; Streptophyta; Magnoliopsida; Poales; Poaceae. The record is from RNAcentral.